UAGGGAAUCUUCCGCAAUGGGCGAAAGCCUGACGGAGCAACGCCGCGUGAGUGAUGAAGGUCUUCGGAUCGUAAAACUCUGUUAUUAGGGAAGAACAAAUGUGUAAGUAACUAUGCACGUCUUGACGGUACCUAAUCAGAAAGCCACGGCUAACUACGUGCCAGCAGCCGCGGUAAUACGUAGGUGGAAAGCGUUAUCCGGAAUUAUUGGGCGUAAAGCGCGCGUAGGCGGUUUUUUAAGUCUGAUGUGAAAGCCCACGGCUCAACCGUGGAUGGUCAUUGGAAACUGGAAAACUUGAGUGCAGAAGAGGAAAGUGGAAUUCCAUGUGUAGCGGUGAAAUGCGCAGAGAUAUGGAGGAACACCAGUGGCGAAGGCGACUUUCUAGUCUGUAACUGACGCUGAUGUGCGAAAGCGGGGGGAUCAAACAGG
This 429-nucleotide ribosomal RNA is filed under the name Actinomycetes bacterium. Its description in RNAcentral is "Actinobacteria bacterium partial 16S ribosomal RNA". It matches the Rfam family "Bacterial small subunit ribosomal RNA", at positions 355 to 776 of the family's 1533-position model. The record is from RNAcentral. Lineage: Bacteria; Bacillati; Actinomycetota; Actinomycetes.